GCAGGGUUGUCUUCUUCAUGGCCUGAUUGUAGCCGUUUGCGUGCAGUCCCUGCCCUCUGCUGGCCACAGGUGUAACUCCACCCAGGAACUCUCCUUGGUGCUGCUCAAUAAUCUCUUCGUCAUGUGUACCUAAUCAAGUGUCUUUCAUCACAUCUUGGAAGGGCGUAACAAGCACUGAGGAACGCGGACGGCCAGGGUUGCUAUUUCCAUGCAGAAAACGCGUUGCCAAGCCCAAAGGCAUCGUCGACCUUUUCCGGGGAUGAACGCUUUGUACCGCUGCCGCCGCCCUGGGAGGAUCUGCUUGGACAGAGAUUUGGGGAGUCCGCAGCCCUGAAGUUGACCGUCGCUGCUCAGGGAACGAAUGUCGCCCAUCUCCAGAGCCUGUUGGGAAGGAAAGUUGCAGGGCCAGAGCUCCGACCCUCAAUUUUUUCCGUGCUCUGAUUGGCUGAUCGGCGCAAAACUGACUCGGUACCGCACGAUGAGAAAGAUGAUAAACGCCAGCACCGAGGCCACGAUAAUCCCCCCGAUGAUGACCACGAUGGUCCCGCCCAGGAACUGGGACUGCAUGAAGUGGCACCUCAGGUACUGCGGCUCGGUG
Syngnathoides biaculeatus (alligator pipefish) is the source of this 598-nucleotide long non-coding RNA. RefSeq lists it as uncharacterized. The record is from RefSeq and is a predicted model, not a curated record. NCBI's taxonomy places the organism in Eukaryota, Metazoa, Chordata, Actinopteri, Syngnathiformes, Syngnathidae. The transcript has 7 exons.